Molecule: ribosomal RNA, 2382 nt
Filed under: soil metagenome
Description: bacterial LSU rRNA
Rfam family: Bacterial large subunit ribosomal RNA
Source: RNAcentral
AGGGCAUUUGGUGGAUGCCUUGGCACCGAGAGGCGAUGAAGGACGUGGCACGCUGCGAAAAACCCCGGGGAGCUGCGAGCAAGCUUUGAUCCGGGGGUUUCCGAAUGGGGCAACCCACCCUUAGGGGUAUCGUCGGCUGAAUAGAUAGGUCGGCGAGGCGAACCGCGGGAACUGAAACAUCUCAGUACCGCGAGGAAAGGACAUCAACCGAGACUCCGCGAGUAGUGGCGAGCGAAAGCGGACCAGGCCAGUGACUUGAAUACCGUAACCGGAACGCUCUGGAAGGGGUGGCCAUAGUGGGUGAGAGCCCCGUACGGGUAAUCGGUAUGCGAGUCCUUGAGUAAGGCGGGACACGUGAAAUCCUGUCUGAACAUGGGGGGACCACCCUCCAAGCCUAAGUACUCCUCGGUGACCGAUAGGGAACGAGUACCGUGAGGGAAAGGUGAAAAGCACCCCGACGAGGGGAGUGAAAGAGACCUGAAACCGAAUGCCUACAAGCAGUCGGAGCGGCGGCCCGUCGCGAGACGGGCGGCUGUGACGGCGUACCUUUUGUAUAAUGGGUCAGCGAGUUCGUCUGUGCAGCAAGCUUAAGCCGUUAGGUGGAGGCGAAGCGAAAGCGAGUCUGAAUAGGGCGCUGAGUUGCACGGAUGAGACCCGAAACCGGGUGAUCUAGCCAUGAGCAGGUUGAAGGUGCGGUAACACGCCCUGGAGGACCGAACCCACUACUGUUGCAAAAGUAGGGGAUGACUUGUGGCUAGGGGUGAAAGGCCAAUCAAACCCGGAAAUAGCUGGUUCUCCGCGAAAUCUAUUGAGGUAGAGCGUCGCGUAUCACCGACGGGGGUAGAGCACUGGAUGGGCUAGGGGGUCUCACCGACUUACCAAACCUAACCAAACUUCGAAUACCGUCGAGUGCAGCGCGGCAGGCAGUCUGCGGGUGCUAACGUCCGUAGACGAGAGGGAAACAACCCAGACCGCCAGCUAAGGUCCCCAAGUCAUGGCUGAGUGGGAAAGGAUGUGGGAAGGCCAAGACAACCAGGAGGUUGGCUUAGAAGCAGCCAUCCUUUAAAGAAAGCGUAACAGCUCACUGGUCUAUUAGCCGGCCUGCGCCGAAGAUGUAUCGGGGCUUAAGCCAUGCACCGAAGCUGCGGAAUCCGCGCAAGCGGAUUGGUAGCGGAGCGUUCCGUAAGCCUGUGAAGGUGUCUCGUGAGGGGCGCUGGAGGUAUCGGAAGUGAGAAUGCUGACAUGAGUAGCGUAAACAGGGCGAGAAACCCUGUCGCCGAAAGUCCAAGGGUUCCUGCGCCAGGGUAAUCCGCGCAGGGUGAGCCGGCCCCUAAGGCGAGGGCGAAAGCCGUAGUCGAUGGGAACCACGUCAACAUUCGUGGGCCAGUCGGAGGUGACGAAGGUCGGUAGUUGUCCAUCCUUAUCGGAUUGGGUGGGCAGCGGCGACGUUCCAGGAAAUAGCCCCGACAAUAGACCGUACCCGAAACCGACACGGGUGGACUGGUAGAGUAUACCAAGGCGAUUGAGAGAACGGUGUUGAAGGAACUAGGCAAAUUGACCCCGUAACUUCGGAAGAAGGGGUACCUUUGCCGGGGCAACCCGGUGGAGGUGGCACAGACCAGGGGGUAGCGACUGUUUACUAAAAACACAGGGCUCUGCGAAGUCGCAAGACGACGUAUAGGGUCUGACGCCUGCCCGGUGCCGGAAGGUUAAGAGGAGGGGUGCAAGCUCUGAAUCGAAGCCCCGGUAAACGGCGGCCGUAACUAUAACGGUCCUAAGGUAGCGAAAUUCCUUGUCGGGUAAGUUCCGACCUGCACGAAUGGCGUAACGACUUCCCCGCUGUCUCCAACACCGACUCAGCGAAAUUGAAUUCUCCGUGAAGAUGCGGAGUCCCCGCGGUCAGACGGAAAGACCCCGUGCACCUUUACUACAACUUUGCAGUGGUGCCAGGGAUCGCUUGUGUAGGAUAGGUGGGAGCCUAUGAAGCGGUGGCGUCAGCCGCCGUGGAGGCAUCCUUGAAAUACCACCCUGGCGGUUCUUGGCCUCUAACCGUGGUCCGUGAUCCGGAUCCGGGACCCUGCAUGGUGGGUAGUUUGACUGGGGCGGUCGCCUCCCAAAGAGUAACGGAGGCGCGCGAUGGUGGGCUCAGGCUGGUCGGAAAUCAGCCGCUGAGUGCAAUGGCAUAAGCCCGCCUGACUGCGAGACCGACAGGUCGAGCAGAGACGAAAGUCGGUCAUAGUGAUCCGGUGGUCCCGCGUGGAAGGGCCAUCGCUCAACGGAUAAAAGGUACGCCGGGGAUAACAGGCUGAUGACCCCCAAGAGUCCCUAUCGACGGGGUCGUUUGGCACCUCGAUGUCGGCUCAUCACAUCCUGGGGCUGGAG